RNAcentral lists this long non-coding RNA (556 nucleotides) under Struthio camelus australis. RNAcentral's name for it is "lncRNA (ENSSCUG00000006443.1)". The record is from RNAcentral. Lineage: Eukaryota; Metazoa; Chordata; Aves; Struthioniformes; Struthionidae.
CUGCGGACAGGUGGUUUCUGCAGCGCCUUUUGUCCAGCUGGCCGGGUUAGCCGGCAGGCUGCUCGGGACAGAGUCUGCCACUGAUCACACAGCGAAGCUGCCGCCUCAGUUACGGCCGUGCAGCAGUGAGCAGUCUCUUUUGAUGUACAUUCUGAAGAGCUUACACAACAGGACAGGGAUUUUUAGCACACUUCAGUUCUUUCCUGAAACAGCAGUGCUAAUGAGACUUGUCUUCCCAUGGAUUAUGUCUCAUGUUUCAUUGCAGAGCUCACCUGAACCCUUUUCCAUAGACAAGACAAAACAGAAGUCGGUCGUCAUGAGCCCUCAUAACUCCUACAACAGCUGUCAGUGUGAGACUUGAACAUUUUCUUCUCUACACCUCUUCCCCCAAAUGCAGCCACACAACACAUUCACAAUGAAGCAAAAUGCCUUGCCUCCCACUUUGAGCUGCACCCAGUGCGUGGAGCCUGAGAGCAGGGAAGAUGGGUGAUGUGAAGCUUCAGUCAGCCCUGUACCAGCAGGUCACUGAAUACUGGGUCCACAUGCUCUGAUGGGG